RNAcentral lists this transfer RNA (68 nucleotides) under Oberthuerella sharkeyi. Its description in RNAcentral is "tRNA-Ser". Lineage: Eukaryota; Metazoa; Arthropoda; Insecta; Hymenoptera; Liopteridae. The record is from RNAcentral.
AGUUAAUAAAUUUUUAAAAAUUUAUAUUUUGAAAAUAUAAUAUAGAAAUUAAAACUUUCUAUUAACUU